Molecule: ribosomal RNA, 677 nt
Filed under: uncultured Flavobacteriales bacterium
Lineage: Bacteria; Pseudomonadati; Bacteroidota; Flavobacteriia; Flavobacteriales
Description: bacterial SSU rRNA
Rfam family: Bacterial small subunit ribosomal RNA
Source: RNAcentral
AGAGAAAUUUGGAUUAAUGCCCUAUGGUAUCAUUGAUUGGCAUCAAUUGAUGAUUAAAGAUUUAUCGGUAGGAGAUGAGCAUGCGUUCUAUUAGUUAGUUGGAGUGGUAACGGCACCCCAAGACAGCGAUAGAUAGGGGCCCUGAGAGGGGGAUCCCCCACACUGGUACUGAGACACGGACCAGACUCCUACGGGAGGCAGCAGUGAGGAAUAUUGGACAAUGGAGGCAACUCUGAUCCAGCCAUGCCGCGUGCAGGAAGACUGCCCUAUGGGUUGUAAACUGCUUUUGUACAGGAAGAAACAUCCCGACGUGUCGGGACUUGACGGUACUGUAAGAAUAAGGAUCGGCUAACUCCGUGCCAGCAGCCGCGGUAAUACGGAGGAUCCAAGCGUUAUCCGGAAUCAUUGGGUUUAAAGGGUCCGUAGGUGGAUGAUUAAGUCAGGGGUGAAAGUCUGCAGCUCAACUGUAGAAUUGCCCUUGAUACUGGUUAUCUUGAGUUAUUAUGAAGUAGUUAGAAUAUGUGGUGUAGCGGUGAAAUGCAUAGAUAUUACAUAGAAUACCAAUUGCGAAGGCAGAUUACUAAUGAUCAACUGACACUGAUGGACGAAAGCGUGGGGAGCGAACAGGAUUAGAUACCCUGGUAGUCCACGCCGUAAACGAUGGUCACUAGCUGUUC